RNAcentral lists this ribosomal RNA (402 nucleotides) under bacterium. Its description in RNAcentral is "partial 16S ribosomal RNA". It matches the Rfam family "Bacterial small subunit ribosomal RNA", at positions 355 to 776 of the family's 1533-position model. The record is from RNAcentral.
UGGGGAAUUUUGCACAAUGGGGGAAACCCUGAUGCAGCGACGCCGCGUGAUUUAGAAGGCCUUCGGGUUUUAAAAAUCUUUUUUAUGGGAAGAAAAUGACAGUACCAUAUGAAUAAGGACCGGCUAAUUACGUGCCAGCAGCCGCGGUAAUACGUAAGGUCCGAGCGUUGUCCGGAAUCAUUGGGCGUAAAGGGUACGUAGGCGGGUAAGCAAGUUAGAAGUGAAAUCCUAUAGCUCAACUAUAGUAAGCUUUUAAAACUGCUCAUCUUGAGGUAUGGAAGGGAAAGUGGAAUUCCUAGUGUAGCGGUGAAAUGCGCAGAUAUUAGGAGGAAUACCGGUGGCGAAGGCGACUUUCUGGCCAUAACCUGACGCUGAGGUACGAAAGCGUGGGUAGCAAACAGG